AGGGAUAGGAAUGAUAUGAUACAAGUCUACAAAGCGUUGCAUGGUAUAGAUGACAUCGACUGGAUGAGCCUAUUUACUUUAGCACCAUCUAAUAAUACUAGAGGUCACUCAUUAAAACUUUUUAAAAAACAGUGUAAGACCACACAUAGACUAAAUACUUUUUCAAUUAGAGUAGUGGAUCAGUGGAAUAACCUGUCAGAUUUAACGGUGACGGCAAAGACUCUGAAUAAUUUUAAGUCUGCAUUAAAUGGUGAAAAUUGGAACCUAUAUAAAUUCAUAUGUUCGUGUUAAGUGUUUCAGCUGCGCACACCUAAAUAAGUUUUUUUUUAAUAAGUUUAAUAUAUA
This 345-nucleotide long non-coding RNA is filed under the name Mytilus galloprovincialis (Mediterranean mussel). Lineage: Eukaryota; Metazoa; Mollusca; Bivalvia; Mytilida; Mytilidae. The record is from RNAcentral.